RNAcentral lists this ribosomal RNA (546 nucleotides) under uncultured bacterium. RNAcentral's name for it is "partial 16S ribosomal RNA". It matches the Rfam family "Bacterial small subunit ribosomal RNA", at positions 355 to 893 of the family's 1533-position model. The record is from RNAcentral.
UAGGGAAUCUUCCACAAUGGACGCAAGUCUGAUGGAGCAACGCCGCGUGAGUGAAGAAGGUUUUCGGACCGUAAAGCUCUGUUGUUGGUGAAGAAGGAUAGAGGUAGUAACUGGCCUUUAUUUGACGGUAAUCAACCAGAAAGUCACGGCUAACUACGUGCCAGCAGCCGCGGUAAUACGUAGGUGGCAAGCGUUGUCCGGAUUUAUUGGGCGUAAAGCGAGCGCAGGCGGAAGAAUAAGUCUGAUGUGAAAGCCCUCGGCUUAACCGAGGAAUUGCAUCGGAAACUGUUUUCUUGAGUGCAGAAGAGGAGAGUAGAACUCCAUGUGUAGCGGUGGAAUGCGUAGAUAUAUGGAAGAAUACCAGUGGCGAAGGCGGCUCUCUGGUCUGCAACUGACGCUGAGGCUCGAAAGCAUGGGUAGCGAACAGGAUUAGAUACCCUGGUAGUCCAUGCCGUAAACGAUGAGUGCUAAGUGUUGGGAGGCUUCCGCCUCUCAGUGCUGCAGCUAACGCAUUAAGCACUCCGCCUGGGGAGUACGACCGCAAGG